RNAcentral lists this ribosomal RNA (484 nucleotides) under uncultured bacterium. RNAcentral's name for it is "partial 16S ribosomal RNA". It matches the Rfam family "Bacterial small subunit ribosomal RNA", at positions 30 to 507 of the family's 1533-position model. The record is from RNAcentral.
AUUGAACGCUGGCGGCAGGCCUAACACAUGCAAGUCGAGCGGAUGAAGGGAGCUUGCUCCUGGAUUCAGCGGCGGACGGGUGAGUAAUGCCUAGGAAUCUGCCUGGUAGUGGGGGAUAACGUCCGGAAACGGGCGCUAAUACCUCAUACGUCCUGAGGGAGAAAGUGGGGGAUCUUCGGGCCUCACGCUAUCAGAUGAGCCUAGGUCGGAUUAGCUAGUUGGUGGGGUAAAGGCCUACCAAGGCGACGAUCCGUAACUGGUCUGAGAGGAUGAUCAGUCACACUGGAACUGAGACACGGUCCAGACUCCUACGGGAGGCAGCAGUGGGGAAUAUUGGACAAUGGGCGAAAGCCUGAUCCAGCCAUGCCGCGUGUGUGAAGAAGGUCUUCGGAUUGUAAAGCACUUUAAGUUGGGAGGAAGGGCAGUAAGUUAAUACCUUGCUGUUUUGACGUUACCAACAGAAUAAGCACCGGCUAACUUCGUG